Leeuwenhoekiella blandensis MED217 is the source of this 118-nucleotide non-coding RNA. NCBI's taxonomy places the organism in Bacteria, Pseudomonadati, Bacteroidota, Flavobacteriia, Flavobacteriales, Flavobacteriaceae. The record is from Rfam.
UUAUCUUUGAUGCUCAAAUUAUGAAAAACAAAACAGUAAAUACUUGGUGGUGGAUCUCGCAACAGUAAUGUCGUGAAACAACCUUGUAUUUAAAAUUUAAAUAACUGAAAGGCCUGUC